Molecule: ribosomal RNA, 841 nt
Filed under: Triparticalcar equi
Lineage: Eukaryota; Fungi; Chytridiomycota; Chytridiomycetes; Spizellomycetales; Spizellomycetaceae
Description: eukaryotic LSU rRNA
Rfam family: Eukaryotic large subunit ribosomal RNA
Source: RNAcentral
GCUCAAAUUUGAAAUCUCUGGGAGUUAUCCUAGCGAAUUGUAGUUUAGAGAAACGUUUUCGGGGGCGGCCUGGGUAUAAGUCUUCUGGAAAGGAGCAUCAUAGAGGGUGAGAAUCCCGUUUAUGAUCCAGUGUUCGCUCCUAUGUGAUACGUUUUCCAAGAGUCAGGUAGUUUGGGAUUGCUGCCUAAAAUGGGUGGUAAAUACCAUCUAAAGCUAAAUAUUGGCGAGAGACCGAUAGCGAACAAGUACCGUGAGGGAAAGAUGAAAAGAACUUUGAAAAGAGAGUUAAACAGUACGUGAAAUUGCCAAAAGGGAAACGUUUGAAACCAGUAUUGCCGGUCUAGCGAUCAGCUGCAGGGCUCGUAAGGGUUAUUGCAGUGCACUCCUGGGCAGGCAGGUCAACAUCAGUUUGGAUCUGGGGAAAAAGCUGGGGGAAGGUAGCUUCGCACUUCGGUGUGUCGUGUUAUAGCCCCUAGUCCUACCUAGGUCUGGACUGAGGUCUGCAGCAUUAUUUGGAUACCCAGUCGCCUUUUGAGGCUCUGUUCUAGACAGCACGCUGACUAGGGUAGUGUCAAGGAAGCUCGGUUGGUUCAUCACACCAAUGCUUAGGAUGUUGACGAAAUGGUUUUAAGCGACCCGUCUUGAAACACGGACCAAGGAGUCUAACAUAUAUGCGAGUAUUUGGGUGGCAAACCCUUAUGCGAAAUGAAAGUGAACUUAGGUGGGAUCUUUAUUGUUGCACCAUCGACCGGUCUGGAUUUUUUUGAUAGAUCUGAGUAAGAGCAUAUCUGUUGGGACCCGAAAGAUGGUGAACUAUGCCUGAAUAGGGUGAAGCCAGAGG